GUGCUUGUUUCAGCAGCACAUAUACUAAAAUUGGAAUGACACAGAGAAGAUUAGCAUGGCCCCUGAGCAAGGAUGACAUGAAAAGAAAAAAAAAACUAAAAAAAAAC
RNAcentral lists this small nuclear RNA (107 nucleotides) under Microcebus murinus (gray mouse lemur). Lineage: Eukaryota; Metazoa; Chordata; Mammalia; Primates; Cheirogaleidae. The record is from RNAcentral.